AUUGAACGCUGGCGGCAGGCUUAACACAUGCAAGUCGAGCGGAGAUGAGGUGCUUGCACCUUAUCUUAGCGGCGGACGGGUGAGUAAUGCUUAGGAAUCUGCCUAUUAGUGGGGGACAACAUUCCGAAAGGAAUGCUAAUACCGCAUACGUCCUACGGGAGAAAGCAGGGGAUCUUCGGACCUCGCGCUAAUAGAUGAGCCUAAGUCGGAUUAGCUAGUUGGUGGGGUAAAGGCCUACCAAGGCGACGAUCUGUAGCGGGUCUGAGAGGAUGAUCCGCCACACUGGGACUGAGACACGGCCCAGACUCCUACGGGAGGGAGCAGUGGGGAAUAUUGGACAAUGGGGGAAACCCUGAUCCAGCCAUGCCGCGUGUGUGAAGAAGGCCUUAUGGUUGUAAAGCACUUUAAGCGAGGAGGAGGCUACUGAGACUAAUACUCUUGGAUAGUGGACGUUACUCGCAGAAUAAGCACCGGCUAACUCUGUGCCAGCCGCCGCAGUAA
Molecule: ribosomal RNA, 501 nt
Filed under: uncultured bacterium
Lineage: Bacteria
Description: partial 16S ribosomal RNA
Rfam family: Bacterial small subunit ribosomal RNA
Source: RNAcentral